Molecule: ribosomal RNA, 253 nt
Filed under: uncultured bacterium
Lineage: Bacteria
Description: partial 16S ribosomal RNA
Rfam family: Bacterial small subunit ribosomal RNA
Source: RNAcentral
UACGUAGGGCGCAAGCGUUAUCCGGAAUUAUUGGGCGUAAAGAGCUCGUAGGCGGUUUGUCGCGUCUGCCGUGAAAGUCCGGGGCUCAACUCCGGAUCUGCGGUGGGUACGGGCAGACUAGAGUGAUGUAGGGGAGACUGGAAUUCCUGGUGUAGCGGUGAAAUGCACAGAUAUCAGGAGGAACACCGAUGGCGAAGGCAGGUCUCUGGGCAUUAACUGACGCUGAGGAGCGAAAGCAUGGGGAGCGAACAGG